UACGUAGGUGGCAAGCGUUGUCCGGAUUUAUUGGGCGUAAAGCGCGCGCAGGCGGUCUUUUAAGUCUGAUGUGAAAGCCCCCGGCUUAACCGGGGAGGGUCAUUGGAAACUGGAAAACUUGAGUGCAGAAGAGGAAAGUGGAAUUCCAUGUGUAGCGGUGAAAUGCGCAGAGAUAUGGAGGAACACCAGUGGCGAAGGCGACUUUCUGGUCUGUAACUGACGCUGAUGUGCGAAAGCGUGGGGAUCAAACAGG
RNAcentral lists this ribosomal RNA (253 nucleotides) under uncultured bacterium. Its description in RNAcentral is "partial 16S ribosomal RNA". It matches the Rfam family "Bacterial small subunit ribosomal RNA", at positions 524 to 776 of the family's 1533-position model. The record is from RNAcentral.